RNAcentral lists this ribosomal RNA (506 nucleotides) under uncultured bacterium. RNAcentral describes it as "partial 16S ribosomal RNA". It matches the Rfam family "Bacterial small subunit ribosomal RNA", at positions 30 to 523 of the family's 1533-position model. The record is from RNAcentral.
AUUGAACGCUGGCGGCAGGCCUAACACAUGCAAGUCGAACGGCAGCGGGGGAUAGCUUGCUAUCCUGCCGGCGAGUGGCGGACGGGUGAGUAAUGCAUGGGGAGCUGCCCAGUCGAGGGGGAUAACAACUGGAAACGGUUGCUAAUACCGCAUACGCCCUAAGGGGGAAAGGUGGGGAACUUCGGUCCUACCGCGAUUGGAUGCGCCCAUGUGGGAUAAGCUAGUUGGUGGGGUAACGGGUCACCAAGGCGACGAUCUCUAGCUGGUCUGAGAGGAUGACCAGCCACACUGGAACUGAGACACGGUCCAGACUCCUACGGGAGGCAGCAGUGGGGAAUAUUGCACAAUGGGGGAAACCCUGAUGCAGCCAUGCCGCGUGUGUGAAGAAGGCCUUCGGGUUGUAAAGCACUUUCAGUCAGGAGGAAGGGGUGAUGGCUAAUAUCCAUCAUCAUUGACGUUACUGACAGAAGAAGCACCGGCUAACUCCGUGCCAGCCGCCGCCGUAA